GACUCCGGACUCACCACCGCCACCUCCAUCGU
This 32-nucleotide non-coding RNA is filed under the name Geobacter sulfurreducens KN400. Lineage: Bacteria; Pseudomonadati; Thermodesulfobacteriota; Desulfuromonadia; Geobacterales; Geobacteraceae. The record is from RNAcentral.